GGAUAUAGCUCAGUGGUGGAGUGCUUGCCUAGUAUGUAUGAAGCCCUGGGUUCAAUCCCCAGUUCUA
RNAcentral lists this transfer RNA (67 nucleotides) under Marmota monax (woodchuck). RNAcentral describes it as "tRNA.Thr". The stretch from base 5 to 63 matches the Rfam family "tRNA", at positions 7 to 64 of the family's 71-position model. Rfam says of the family: Transfer RNA (tRNA) molecules are approximately 80 nucleotides in length. Lineage: Eukaryota; Metazoa; Chordata; Mammalia; Rodentia; Sciuridae. The record is from RNAcentral.